UGUAGUCAUAUGCUUGUCUCAAAGAUUAAGCCAUGCAUGUCUAAGCACAAACUUUUACACAGUGAAGCUGCGAAUGGCUCAUUAGGUCACCCAUGAUUUCUUAGAUCGUACAAUCCUACUUGGAUAACUGUGGUAAUUCUAGAGCUAAUACAUGCAAAUAAGCUCCGACCCCUCGUGGGAAAGAGCGCGUUUAUUAGAUCAAAACCAAUCGGGCUCUCGGGCUCGUACGUUUGGUGACUCUGGAUAACUUUGAGCGGAUCGCACGGGCUUGCCCCGGCGACGUAUCUUUCAAGUGUGUGCCCUAUCAACUUUCGAUGGUACGCGAUAUGCCUACCAUGGUUGUAACGGGUAACGGGGA
This 358-nucleotide ribosomal RNA is filed under the name uncultured fungus. RNAcentral describes it as "SSU rRNA". It matches the Rfam family "Eukaryotic small subunit ribosomal RNA", at positions 21 to 368 of the family's 1831-position model. The record is from RNAcentral. Lineage: Eukaryota; Fungi.